UUUCCGUAGGUGAACCUGCGGAAGGAUCAUUAAUGAGAACGUGCCCUUCGGGGUAGAUCUCCCACCCUGUAUUUACACUACCUUUGUUGCUUUGGCAGGCCCGCCCUCGGGCCGCCGGCUCCGGCUGGCCAGCGUCUGCCAGAGGAUUCAAAACUCUGAAUGUCAGUGUCGUCUGAGUACUAUAUAAUAGUUAAAACUUUCAACAACGGAUCUCUUGGUUCUG
This 223-nucleotide unclassified non-coding RNA is filed under the name plant metagenome. Its description in RNAcentral is "partial contains small subunit ribosomal RNA, internal transcribed spacer 1, and 5.8S ribosomal RNA". The record is from RNAcentral.